CGGAGGAAAAGAAACCAACAGGGAUUGCCUCAGUAACGGCGAGUGAAGCGGCAAAAGCUCAAAUUUGAAAUCCUUCGGGAAUUGUAUUUUGAAAAAGUGGGGAACAACCCAAAGAUACCUUAAGUGCAUUGGAAAAUGCCGCCACAGAGGGUGAUAGCCCCGUAAAGGAUAUCCUAGGGCCUCUUUCCCCCCUUUAAAGAGUCGAGUUGUUUGGGAAUGCAGCUCUAAGUGGGUGGUAAAUUCCAUCUAAAGCUAAAUAUUGGCGAGAGACCGAUAGCGAACAAGUACAGUGAUGGAAAGAUGAAAAGCACUUUGAAAAGAGAGUGAAAAAGUACGUGAAAUUGUUGAAAGGGAAGGGCUUGCAAGCAGACACUUUUUAAAGGGCCAGCAUCGGGGAGAAGGGAGACAAAAAAGAAAAGAAAUGUAGCUUCGGUGUUAUAUUCUCUUCCCAUAUCUCCUCUCCUUCCCGAGGCCUGCGUAUCUAGGAUGCUGGCGUAAUGGUUGCAAGUCGCCCGUCUUG
Molecule: ribosomal RNA, 520 nt
Filed under: Metschnikowia sp. F450
Lineage: Eukaryota; Fungi; Ascomycota; Pichiomycetes; Serinales; Metschnikowiaceae
Description: eukaryotic LSU rRNA
Rfam family: Eukaryotic large subunit ribosomal RNA
Source: RNAcentral